Molecule: unclassified non-coding RNA, 300 nt
Filed under: uncultured Sordariales
Lineage: Eukaryota; Fungi; Ascomycota; Sordariomycetes; Sordariales
Description: sequence contains ITS1
Rfam family: 5.8S ribosomal RNA (bases 1-105)
Source: RNAcentral
GAAAUGCGAUAAGUGUUGUGAAUUGCUGAAUUCAGUGAAUCAUCGAAGCUUUGAACGCACAUUGCGCCCGCGUGUAUUCUGGCGGGCGUGCCUGUGCGAGCGUCGUUGCAAGCAUCAAGCUUUAAGCUUGUGUUGGAGCCCUGCGGCUGUCCGCAGGCCCCUAAAUACAGUGGCGGGCUCGCUAUCACACCGAGUGCAGUAGUUUUCUUUCUCGCUCAGGGCGUGUAGUGGGUGCUCGCCGUGAAACCCCUUUUUCACAAGGUUGACCUCGGAUCAGGUAGGAAUACCCGCUCAACUUAA